UCCAUGUGUGGCUGCCAACAAAGCUUCUCGGAGAGGAGGCUGAGUGAUUCCACAUUGGGCAGGAAAACAUGCUCCCCUGUGUAUCCCCAGUGAAAGGAGGAAACUCCAAAGGCAGGAGCAGCGAUGGAGCAAAAGGUUCUGCAACAAUGAAGUAACAGGAGAGCCUUUUAAACAUCCCAUCAGGGACUUGCAGAGGUCGUCUGGCGGCGAGUCAAUCAAGAAGCAGCAUGAACUGGCAGCCAAAUCUACGAGGAUUUUUAAAUCCUGGACAGAAGUUUUUAUUCCUUACAAACUUCCACAGCUCUUGAACUGCAACAUACCAUAUCGAAGGUUUAAUGUCAGGCACAGCACCUGACCAACUUCGGGAGAACAAAGCCUCCAUCUGGACUGAAGGGAAAGAGAGCUGGUCGCCUGUGGAGCUGCAGAGAACAAGGCUCUGCUUCCUUUGAAGCUCUGGUGUUCUUCUUAAUCACUUGGCAAAGUCUUAAUUUAAAGAGGAACUCUUAGAGAAAGGGGAAUCUCAAGUAUAUUUGACUUUCGUAUCAAAUCUACUUACCUUUCAUCAGGUUUAUUAAAACUGGUGAUGUGUUAAUUGUGAACUCCUUUUGUAUCUGAACAUGUAGUACUGCCAUUAGGGUCUCCCUCAUUGCUCUGUUUGGUCUUGGGCUGUGCUCACAUUGCUGUCUGUCCUGGAGUAAUUAUUUCUGGGGAUAAACAUUGUGACAUCAGGCACAUUGGAUUAAAAUUGUUGCAUAGUAAACACAAGGGAACUUCAGGUCUUAGAAUGCCUAAUUAGACAACAAUAAAUUUGUUGUGGGAUGGAUGAAAUAUAGAAGCCCAGGAAGUAUUGCAUUUUCACCAUUAUAUACUAUAUACAUUAAUGUAUUUCAUAUCUUUAUUCUUCUGAAGUAAAUAUCCUACAGGAAUUCUCUUAUCUUUUUACAAAGGUAUGUGAAAGAUCCACUUUGGAUAGAUGUAUAAAACCCAUAAAGCUAUAGUCUCAGGAGUAGUCAGCUCCGUAUUGUGUUUGUGCAAUAUGUCAGUGAUCCAGGACAUGCACAUAAUCCAACUUCCACCAUGGAGUGCUAUUUAAAAAAAUAGGGCAUAAGUGAAUUCUUCAUUUUAUCCUUGGCUUUGGUUCCUGGAUGAAGCCAUAUGUUGGGGAUAUAAGAAACAUGUAAUUCUUGACAUAAAAGAGUUUGUAAUCUAUAUGAUAGAAAUAAAAUCAUCUGAGAAUACAGCUGCAAAAAUAGAAUUAAGUAUCAAAAAAUAUCAGUGAGAAAUCAUAGCAUGACAAUCUUAGUUAAGUAAAUAGAUGACAAGUUUCAGGGAACUUCAGUUAGAAAUAAACUUAAAAAGUUGCAUAAGUUAUGAAGAAAGGGAAAAUAUGUUUUCAGUGUUGGUGAAUUAAAGAGAAAAUGUGUGUAAGGAAUAAACCAUCAGAGUUUCAAGGGAAGACUCUCAACAUGUCAAAACAACAGUUUUGAAAAGAUAUUGGGAUUAAUGAAGACAUUUUUAGGCAAUCAUCAGAUUGGAAAUUUAGAUGAAGGUCGACU
Manis pentadactyla (Chinese pangolin) is the source of this 1556-nucleotide long non-coding RNA. RefSeq lists it as uncharacterized. The transcript is spliced from 4 exons. The record is from RefSeq and is a predicted model, not a curated record. Lineage: Eukaryota; Metazoa; Chordata; Mammalia; Pholidota; Manidae.